This 92-nucleotide ribosomal RNA is filed under the name Hordeum vulgare subsp. spontaneum. Lineage: Eukaryota; Viridiplantae; Streptophyta; Magnoliopsida; Poales; Poaceae. The record is from RNAcentral.
GGAUCCCAUCAGAACUCCGAAGUUAAGCGUGCUUGGGCGAGAGUAGUAGCUAGGAUAGGUGACCUCCUGGGAAGUCCUCGUGUUGCAUUCCC